This 253-nucleotide ribosomal RNA is filed under the name uncultured bacterium. RNAcentral's name for it is "partial 16S ribosomal RNA". It matches the Rfam family "Bacterial small subunit ribosomal RNA", at positions 524 to 776 of the family's 1533-position model. The record is from RNAcentral.
GACAGAGGGUGCAAACGUUGUUCGGAAUUACUGGGCGUAAAGAGCUCGUAGGCGGUUUGUCGCGUCUGCUGUGAAAACUCGGGGCUUAACCCCGGGCCUGCAGUGGGUACGGGCAGACUAGAGUGCGGUAGGGGAGACUGGAAUUCCUGGUGUAGCGGUGAAAUGCGCAGAUAUCAGGAGGAACACCGGUGGCGAAGGCGGGUCUCUGGGCCGUAACUGACGCUGAGGAGCGAAAGCGUGGGGAGCGAACAGG